RNAcentral lists this ribosomal RNA (254 nucleotides) under uncultured bacterium. RNAcentral's name for it is "partial 16S ribosomal RNA". It matches the Rfam family "Bacterial small subunit ribosomal RNA", at positions 524 to 776 of the family's 1533-position model. The record is from RNAcentral.
UACGAAGGGGGCUAGCGUUGUUCGGAAUUACUGGGCGUAAAGGGCGCGUAGGCGGUGUGUCAAGUCAGGCGUGAAAGCCCCGGGCUCAACCUGGGAACCGCGCUUGAGACUGGCACGCUCGAGUUCGGGAGAGGAUGGUGGAAUUCCCAGUGUAGAGGUGAAAUUCGUAGAUAUUGGGAAGAACACCGGAUGGCGAAGGCAGCCAUCUGGACCGACACUGACGCUGAGGCGCGAAAGCGUGGGGAGCAAACAGG